AACGAACGCUGGCGGCAUGCCUAACACAUGCAAGUCGAACGAGACCUUCGGGUCUAGUGGCGCACGGGUGCGUAACGCGUGGGAAUCUGCCCUCUGGUUCGGAACAACAGUUGGAAACGACUGCUAAUACCGGAUAAUGACUUCGGUCCAAAGAUUUAUCGCCUGAGGAUGAGCCCGCGUCGGAUUAGCUUGUUGGUGAGGUAAAAGCUCACCAAGGCGACGACCCGUAGCUGGUCUGAGAGGAUGAUCAGCCACACUGGGACUGAGACACGGCCCAGACUCCUACGGGAGGCAGCAGUGGGGAAUAUUGGACAAUGGGCGAAAGCCUGAUCCAGCAAUGCCGCGUGAGUGAUGAAGGCCUUAGGGUUGUAAAGCUCUUUUACCCGGGAUGAUAAUGACAGUACCGGGAGAAUAAGCCCCGGCUAACUCCGUGCCAGCCGCCGCCGUAA
Molecule: ribosomal RNA, 449 nt
Filed under: uncultured bacterium
Lineage: Bacteria
Description: partial 16S ribosomal RNA
Rfam family: Bacterial small subunit ribosomal RNA
Source: RNAcentral